This is a long non-coding RNA of Lynx canadensis (Canada lynx), 2056 nucleotides long. RefSeq lists it as uncharacterized. The transcript is spliced from 3 exons. The record is from RefSeq and is a predicted model, not a curated record. Lineage: Eukaryota; Metazoa; Chordata; Mammalia; Carnivora; Felidae.
CCCCCAGGUGAGCCUCCUGAGUGCCACGGUCUAUGGGCCACGGUGGCUUGAGGAUGACACGCCACGUCCACGCCCAGCCCCCUUCACAGAACUCUUUCUCAAUCAGGCUGUUUUGUUUGCUCGCUUUCCCUUUACUUCCUUGCCAAAAGCAACAAAUAAUUUCUCAAUCACACACACACACACACACACACACACACACACCCUCAGCCCUGAUACUGUAGUGCGCCCCACCCCCAUAUUAUCUUACUCCUGGCCAUGGCCGAUCCAACCCAAUUGGGAAAUAGUAACCGUACAGAACAUUUUAACUGAACAUUCUUAACUCCAAAUAGAUUUCACAAUGCUGGACACUGGGACAUGUCCUAAUAGCGUUCUGGGCAAACCAUGUUUUUAAACACAUGCCCAGGCAACUGAGCGUGUAUGUGUGCGUGUAAACACAUGAUAGACAGUAUUCCUGCCACUCACCCAGGCAUGGCAAAUGUUUGCUUUCCUAAGACAUGUUCUGUGGAGCAGCAAAAACUCAAUUCACAAGUGGAGUGCCCACCUCUCAGGGAGCGGCUAAGCGGAGGACCAGCACCUAUUUAGACAGGAUUCCCAAAAGGACCCUGGAGUGACCAGUCUUCCAGUAUCAGCAGCCAUCAACCAGGUGAAAGAAACUUCUGGAACCCAUCAGCAGCCUUUCUUUGGAACCAUUCUGCUGCCACGCAUUUCUCAGCCUUCAGAGACACAGAUGUCCCAUCUUGUCUGAUCCUUGGGGUAAGGACACUGCCCUGUACCUGACCCACUAACUCAGCGUCCCACACAGGUUACCAGAGGUGAGUGUGGCAUCCAUGUGAUCCACACGAAGUACAAGGACAAAAGUCCUGCCCCACUGCCAGAGAGACAAGGGCAAAGCACACUAAGUUCAGAAGAGAACAAGGAAGCACUUUAUAGCCCUAGGAGUUGAGUGAAGCCCAGCACUGGUUUGCUCCUAUCUUUCGUUACUGUUCAGAGCCCCAAGGGAAGGAUGUGGAAUGGAAAGGUGAACCCUUCCACCCAUAGAAAAAGGAAAUGGCAGAGAAGAAUCUGAGUGCCUUCAAGAGACUUGGCUACCAGCAGACUCUCUGUACAGCCUGCAGAAUGACCAAGGAGAAAUAGAAGUCCAGCUGGCUUCUGAGCAAAAGUGCAAUUUGUAUGAACCCAUGGUCUCUCACUCUGCAGACCACAACCCCUGCCCCGCCCCCUGCCACUACCACUAUACUAUGCAAGUGAUUUUGAUGAAAAUGGAAAUUCUGUCCACCUCCCUCUUCCUCACCACACACGCAUGUUUUCCCAGUCUGGUCUUGUCUUUUUGCAAGGUCUAACUGCUCAUGGCCAUCUGAGGUCACCAGCCUCCACUACAGCACAGGAAGGAAGGACAGGUGGGGACAUCUUUGUGCCUGUCUGCAUAAGUCCCUCGGUUUCACGCUCCCUUCUUUGAGAAGCAGUCCCGUUGCUGAACGCCAUUUUCAGAGUAACCCAGUUUCAGCAUGGCCCCAACACUUCUGUUCCAUGCUUGCUGGAGGAUCCAUCCCCACUCAUGCUUCAAGUCCCCGCCACGCCCUCCCCACCUCGUCCCGCCAAGCGGUAGUGCUGUCCCAGCACGGCCCACAAUUGGCCCACUGGGCAAACCAUCUUGAAUGGAACAGAUUUUCAAUUAUGUCCAAAAAGACAAAGAAAAAAUUAACCUUUGGCAGGUUUCUAGCUAUUUUCUCAAGAGAGCUGAAUCAUUAUGAGAAAUUAGAGCUAAGCAAAUCUGAACCUUUUAACAAGUAACUAGAGAGAAAGACUCAUUCCUUCUCACUGAUUCUCAACCACACAACCCUCGCCAGUCAAGUCAAGCUAGCAAGAUACAUCGAGCCGUCUCUGUGCUACUGGAAGUCUGACAAGUCAUAGAUUUUGUCUGCUCUGGGCUAUAAACUACAUAACAGCAGACGCCAUGUUGAUUUUCCCUCUUCUUCAAGGGGUCUAGUUUUAUUUUUUUAAAUUUUCUUGAUGUUUUUUAUUUCAUAUUUGAGAGAGAGAGACAGAGACAGCAAGC